This 608-nucleotide ribosomal RNA is filed under the name uncultured bacterium. RNAcentral describes it as "bacterial SSU rRNA". It matches the Rfam family "Bacterial small subunit ribosomal RNA", at positions 129 to 734 of the family's 1533-position model. The record is from RNAcentral.
CCCUGAUGUGGGGGAUAACCAUUGGAAACGAUGGCUAAUACCGCAUGAUAGCUUCGGCUCAAAGAGGGGGACCUUCGGGCCUCUCGCGUCAGGAUAUGCCCAGGUGGGAUUAGCUAGUUGGUGAGGUAAGGGCUCACCAAGGCGACGAUCCCUAGCUGGUCUGAGAGGAUGAUCAGCCACACUGGAACUGAGACACGGUCCAGACUCCUACGGGAGGCAGCAGUGGGGAAUAUUGCACAAUGGGCGCAAGCCUGAUGCAGCCAUGCCGCGUGUAUGAAGAAGGCCUUCGGGUUGUAAAGUACUUUCAGCAGAGGAAGGAGGUAUCGUUAAUAGCGGUAUCUUUUGACGUUAGCUGCAGAAGAAGCACCGGCUAACACCGUGCCAGCAGCCGCGGUAAUACGGAGGGUGCGAGCGUUAAUCGGAAUUACUGGGCGUAAAGCGCAUGCAGGUGGUUUGUUAAGUCAGAUGUGAAAGCCCGGGGCUCAACCUCGGAAUUGCAUUUGAAACUGGCAGGCUAGAGUACUGUAGAGGGGGGUAGAAUUUCAGGUGUAGCGUUGAAAUGCGUAGAGAUCUGAAGGAAUACCGGUGGCGAAGGCGGCCCCCUGGUC